Molecule: unclassified non-coding RNA, 379 nt
Filed under: uncultured bacterium
Lineage: Bacteria
Description: contains 16S-23S intergenic spacer region
Source: RNAcentral
UCCGGUUUGGCACCGGCAGUCUCCCAUGAGUCCCCGGCUUUACCCGCUGGCAACAUGGAACAGGGGUUGCGCUCGUUGCGCCACUUAAGGCAACACCUCACGACACGAGCUGACGACAGCCAUGCAGCACCGGUGCACCACCCUCGAAGGCAGCGGUGUUUCCACCACUUGCAGGUGCAUGUCAAGCCUGGGUAAGGUUCUGCGUGUUGCGUAGAAUUAAACCACACGCUCCGCUGCUUGUGCGGGCCCCCGUCAAUUCCUUUGAGUUUUAGCCUUGCGGCCGUGGUCCCCAGGCGGUGUACUCAUCGCGUAAGCUGAGGCACCGAAGGGCGCAAUCACCCCCCAGCACCGGGUACACAUCGUUUACGGCGUGGACUAC